This 253-nucleotide ribosomal RNA is filed under the name uncultured bacterium. RNAcentral's name for it is "partial 16S ribosomal RNA". It matches the Rfam family "Bacterial small subunit ribosomal RNA", at positions 524 to 776 of the family's 1533-position model. The record is from RNAcentral.
UACGUAGGGUGCGAGCGUUAAUCGGAAUUACUGGGCGUAAAGCGUGCGUAGGCGGUUAGUUAAGUCUGUCGUGAAAGCCCCGGGCUCAACCUGGGAAUGGCGAUGGAUACUGGCUAGCUAGAGUGUGUCAGAGGAUGGUGGAAUUCCCGGUGUAGCGGUGAAAUGCGUAGAGAUCGGGAGGAACAUCAGUUGCGAAGGCGGCUCUCUGGACCAGCACUGACACUGAGGCACGAAAGCGUGGGGAGCAAACAGG